AACUUUCAAUGUGUAUGAAAGGAGCACUGCAUGGUCAAUAAUCCCCCUAGGCUGGGUGUAGGGCUCCUCUGGCUUCUCAGCGAAGCUGGUAAGCAUGGUGCCACUUGAUCCUAUUAUAAGGUGAGAGGAAGCCUGGAAGCAGGGUUCCUUUCUGGAAGAUUUUAAAAUGGGAAAGACUUGACCUGAAACCUGUGUCAUAAUCAAGGGACUAAAAUGAUCUUUCCAAAGGACCUCUGGCUGUGCUCUUGACUCCCCAGUGGUUUCUGUGAAUAUCAACAUUGCCUGGCAUUAACUAGCCCAGAUUCUGAUCUCGCAGUUCCUGAUUGGUGCCCUCUGCCUAUAUAAGGUCAGGAUGUGGAAUGCUGAAGGCAGGGUCCUACCUUCUCCUGAGCUCCAAGCUUUCUUAUCUGUGCUCCCUGCUAAUCAACUCACCAGCAUGAAGCUCUUGGCGUUGCUGGUACUGGUGGCCGUUUCCACCUUCCUGGUUUCAGGCCAGACAACCGAUGAUACAUCUGAGAGUGCUACUGGUCCUGUUGAGGAAUCCACAACCGAUGGAUCCACAACUGACACCAGUGCAGCUCCUGACACCACAAAUGCUGCUCAAACCACUACUUGGAGUAAGCCACUUAUUAUAGAUUAUACUUUCUUUUGGGGGCUUCUGGAUUCCUUGGUUCCCUGUGAUGCUGGCACAUUCUACUUUGGGGUCUGGAAGGAGAAGCCAUGAGAAAGCUCUGUUUUCAUCAUUCUCUAAUUGUUCCUGGUUUUACAAAUCAAGUCAACAGAUAGAUCUCAGAGGAGCCCUGAGGUUGCAGCUUCUUGUUUACUAAUAUUACCUGCAUGUUCUUGAAGUGUUGGCUUUAAUAGGGAUAUUUGUCUUUAGUAGAAAAGUAUGGGAAGAUAGGGGUCGGGUGGCUGUUUACAUUUGUUUUUUAUAGAAAAGUGUUUGUUUCUUUUCUUUUUUCUUUUUUUAACUUUAUUUUUUUUAUUUUUAAAAAUUUACAUCCAAAUUAGUUAGUAUAUAGUGAAGCAAUGAUUUCAGUAGAUUCCUUAAUGCCCCUUACCCAUUUAGCCCAUCCCCCCUCCCACAACCCCUCCAGCAACCCUCAGUUUGUUCUCCAUAUUUAUGAGUCUCUUUUGUUUUGUCCCCCUCUCUGUUUUUAUAUUGUUUUUGUUUCCCUUCCCUUAUGUUCAUCUGUUUUGUCUCUUAACGUCCUCAUAUGAGUGAAGUCAUAUGAUUUUUGUCUUUCUCUGACUAAUUUCACUCAGCACAAUACCCUCCAGUUCCAUCCAUGUAGUUGCAAAUGGCAAGAUUUCAUUCUUUUUGAUUGCCAAGUAAUACUCCAUUGUAUAUAUAUAUAUACCACAUUUCUUUAUCCACUCAUCCAUUGAUGGACAUUUGGGCUCUUUCUAUACUUUGGCUAUUGUUGACAGUGUUGCUAUAAACAUGGGGGUGCAUGUGUCCCUUCAAAACAGCA
This 1475-nucleotide long non-coding RNA is filed under the name Felis catus (domestic cat). RNAcentral describes it as "lncRNA (ENSFCAG00000044852.2)". The record is from RNAcentral. Lineage: Eukaryota; Metazoa; Chordata; Mammalia; Carnivora; Felidae.